This 168-nucleotide microRNA precursor is filed under the name Medicago truncatula (barrel medic). RNAcentral describes it as "MIR2619 microRNA precursor family". It matches the Rfam family "MIR2619 microRNA precursor family". Lineage: Eukaryota; Viridiplantae; Streptophyta; Magnoliopsida; Fabales; Fabaceae. The record is from Rfam by way of RNAcentral.
AAACAGCCCCCUAUGUUUUGAUUCUUUGGCAGUUUUGGACCCCCAGUCCAUUGUUGACUCGGUCAACGCUGACGUGACACCCUAAGUGAGGUGUCACGUGUCAAUUUUUUAUUUUUUUUGUCUUGGGGGUCCAAAACUGCCAAAGAAUCAAAACAUAGGGGGCUGUUU